This is a long non-coding RNA of Boleophthalmus pectinirostris (great blue-spotted mudskipper), 1289 nucleotides long. RefSeq lists it as uncharacterized. The record is from RefSeq and is a predicted model, not a curated record. NCBI's taxonomy places the organism in Eukaryota, Metazoa, Chordata, Actinopteri, Gobiiformes, Gobiidae. The transcript has 3 exons.
GUGAAUGCCCACUUGGCCCUCUCGGAGCCCUCUUUCUGCCUGAGGAGGAUGCAUGCUGUUAGUUAUGGCAGAGUCCGGGGCUCCAGCUCUGAUCCAAUCUAACCCGAGCAGCGGGCUGCUGAACCUGGCAGAAGGAGAGCAGUCAGACAGCAGAAUGAUGCUUCUCAUUGCUCCUUGUCAGUUUGUUGCGGGGCUGUUUUGGCUGGCAGAUGGAGUGUGGAGAUGAGAUUUUGAGAGUGUUUAAACCCUAGCGGCAGGACUCCUCUUCAGGGUCGGUGGGGAGCAGACGAUCCGAUGGUCUGGGUGAGGGGAUUACAGGCAGACACAGGCAGACCUCCACUGCUCCGGCCUGUCGCAGAGGACCUAACGUGGCUCUCCACUGUGAAAUGCCUGUCAAUGUCAAGAAGUCAAGAAACUGCAACACACUUUUGGCUAAUGGUGCAGAGGCAGAAGAGAGUCGGGGACACAAAAACCUAUUCGCUCACACACAAGGACUUCUCGCCAAGAUAAUUAUAAGCUUUAUGAAAGUAGUGUGGAAGAAGGGGGAAGGAACCCAGCACAAGAAUGGGCAGACGGGAGGAGAAGAAAAUUACUUUUCCCCUUUGGCUCUGCUUUAUGCCCCUUCUAACAAGAGAAGAGAUGGCAAUGUAUGGAGGAGGCCUUCUUCAAGCUGGCAUCCCGGGGCUUCUGGUAGCAUAAGGCAAGGAAUAGUAUUCAGAAUGUCUUGUGUUUUCUUCUGUUCAUUAAUCCACCAAAACCUUUGACCAUUCCACAAUAACCAGCUCAUUACAUGGUCCAUCUUGAUCAAAAAGACGAGUAGGACAGACCUUAGCUGAAAUGAAGUCUGUACCAUUUGAAUAGGAGUUUGGUAUAGACCCCAGUUCUAAACAACACCAAAAAGAACAUCUUGUCUUUUGAUCAAGUUUUUUUCCUCCUUCAGCCUACAUCGAGUGUCUGAAUGCACUUAAUUAUCUAAAAAGGGAAAAGUUUGUACCUGUUGAAAAAGCUACCCUUCUAGCUUGCUCGGCCUCGUUAAUGCCAACAAAAAGCGAGAUGCGUACGAAUGGUCAGGGAGGACGCCACAUGCUGCGGAGUGCCUUUCAGAGAUGUCCCUAAUAAGAAUGCAGCGGUGAGAGCGGCUGAAUGCAUGCUAGGAAAGAUAGGCAGGGAGGAGGACAAGAAGAGAAAGGAGAAAAACAUCUUUUACCUCUCCUAUAAUUACUACAAAUAAAGAAUGGGCUAAGGAAGAAAUGGCAGAGGAGAUUUUCCAUUAUGACUGAAAAACCCAU